UACGGGGGGGGUAAGCGUUGUUCGGAAUUACUGGGCGUAAAGGGCUCGUAGGCGGCCAACUAAGUCCGACGUGAAAUCCCCAGGCUUAACCUGGGAACUGCGUCGGAUACUGGUUGGCUUGAAUCCGGGAGAGGGAUGCGGAAUUCCAGGUGUAGCGGUGAAAUGCGUAGAUAUCUGGAGGAACACCGGUGGCGAAGGCGGCAUCCUGGACCGGCAUUGACGCUGAACAGCGAAAGCCAGGGGAGCAAACGGG
Molecule: ribosomal RNA, 253 nt
Filed under: uncultured bacterium
Lineage: Bacteria
Description: partial 16S ribosomal RNA
Rfam family: Bacterial small subunit ribosomal RNA
Source: RNAcentral